UCAGGUGAUGCGCCUUGGCCUCCCAAAGUGUUGGGAUUACAGGCGUGAGCCACUGCACCUGGCCAUUACCUUUGUUUCACGAAUGAGUUAGGCUGUGGCAACUAGACUAGGGCGACCCCCCACACCCUCCCCCUAGAGCUGGUCACAGGCAGAGCUGAGCUUGAACUUGGGCUUCACACCUGUGUUCACACGCACCACUUGUCAUUGCCUGUGACUUUGCUGUCUCUCCUCCUCAUCUUUCAAACACUCCCUGGAGCCAUUUAGUGCCUAGAUGAUGCGUGUUUUUAUACCAGCCACUCUACUCAAAAGCAAAAUCUGUUUGAAAGCUGUGUUACAGGUUCUUCCAGAACUUCCAGUUUUUAAGACUGUCUUCCCCUUGCUGCAGCUUCCUUUGUACCAUGCAGCCACUAGCUCCGAAGGGACCUCCUGCCAGGGAAUUUGAUUCCUUGUAUAGAGCCCUUCUGUUGACCGCUGACCUCAGGGCUAGGUCCCCAAAAUGUCGCCUCUCUGUGAUCAUUUCGGCAAAGUAGCAACAGGUCAGUUAGGAUGUGGAUUUUCUCACUCUCUCAAAGGUUCUUUUAUUUAAAUAUGUUCAUACAUUUUUCUCCUGCCGCUCUCUUUCCUGAAAGAAUGAAGUUAGAGGAUUAGGUUGCUAAAUUUAGCUCUUGCUGACGCACUGGCCUCUCACUAGCAGUCUCCUCGUGUCUCAGUGUUUCUCUAAGCCUCGCUUUUUUGCUGGUAGACGCACACCAUCACAUCCUACAUAAUAUUUAGCUCUGAGGCGUUUCCAGAUGGGAAGUGCGUUUCUGUAUUUUCAUAGCCGUGUUCUCUACGUGAAUGGACUGGCGUGAAGCUGGGGGCUGACGGCUGGCAGGGCAGAACAACUUCCAGUAAAAGAAGGCACUGAGGAUUAAAUGCUACGUGGGAGCAGUUGCUGAUUUUUGCAAUGGGAGGCUGCAUAGAUUCAAGGACUUCCUCAGGUGCUCCAGGAGCUUGUCAUUCCAGAGGCAGAGCAGCCCAGAAGUCCUGCGAUUUACACCUCCAGUAGAAACCCUCAACCAGAGAAGGAUGGAAGUCAAUGGGUAGGUUGGGAAGCUCCAUUCUGUAUCAUCCUCACUCAAGGACCUGGACUGAAGGAUUUCUGCUUUCGAGAAGAAAAAAAAAAGAAGACAUGUUUACUAAUACACUGCUAUGCCAUCUGGGA
Non-coding RNA from Chlorocebus sabaeus (green monkey), 1204 nucleotides. Lineage: Eukaryota; Metazoa; Chordata; Mammalia; Primates; Cercopithecidae. The record is from RefSeq and is a predicted model, not a curated record.